GGGAACCUGCAUUUCCAAUACUCACUGCCCAGUACUUUGAGAAGCACCACACGCAUGCUCCUCCAACCUGUGUUCUUCGACCCAAGAACUAGUCUCAUCCCGUGCAUCAAUCAAGCAGUGGGUGCUGCCCCACAAGCUAUUAUCCUAAGGACCUUUACUUCAUAACUUCUGUCUAUAUGCUGUAGAACCAACACUCGGCUAUGCUCUGAGCUUGUUUGCAGCUUCUGAUAAAGACUGUCUGAAGAAAAGGGCAGAUUAAAAACUUCAGGACUUGGGGUGCUUGUGUUCUCAGGAGCAAGGUGUUGAAACUGCAAAGAGGAGGAGCUGGCUGUGUAUUUGUUCAGCCCACGUGAGCUGUCCUAUCUGCCAAAGGAAAACUGGACACUGGAUCUGGACGUUCUGGAGCCCACUCUGGGAGCAAAUUGCAUAACCACGUGCCUGUGUUUUACACAGGUGCUAACACGAUGAUUCGGACACUGAGCCUGAAGGUCAGAGUUCAAUCCCUGCGAGUCCACACGGUGGAAGAAGAGAAUCAACUCUCAAAAGUUGGCCUCAGUCCUGUGACUACCAUGCUGCACACGUUGCAACACAUGACCCUCAUCCCCUCCCAUGUAGAAAUAAAAGCAUAUUUGUUUAGUCAGGGUCCCUCUACCUAACCCUGACUCUCCUGGAACUCAUAUAGACCAGGCUGGCCUCGAACUCAAAGAGAUCUGCCCAAUUCAGCCUCCCCAGUGUUGGAACAAAAAGCAUGCAUCCCCACGCCCCAACCUAAAAGCAAUAAUUUUUUAAUUAAAAAUUAGU
Apodemus sylvaticus (European woodmouse) is the source of this 801-nucleotide long non-coding RNA. RefSeq lists it as uncharacterized. The record is from RefSeq and is a predicted model, not a curated record. The transcript has 5 exons. Lineage: Eukaryota; Metazoa; Chordata; Mammalia; Rodentia; Muridae.